This 174-nucleotide ribosomal RNA is filed under the name uncultured bacterium. Its description in RNAcentral is "partial 16S ribosomal RNA". It matches the Rfam family "Bacterial small subunit ribosomal RNA", at positions 1326 to 1500 of the family's 1533-position model. The record is from RNAcentral.
UCGGAAUUGCUAGUAAUCGCAGAUCAGCAUGCUGCGGUGAAUACGUUCCCGGGCCUUGUACACACGCCCGUCACACCAUGGGAGUCGGUAACACCCGAAGUCGGUAGCCUAACCGUAAGGAGGGCGCCGCCGAAGGUGGGAUUGAUGACUGGGGUGAAGUCGUAACAAGGUACC